Non-coding RNA from Aptenodytes forsteri (emperor penguin), 47 nucleotides. Lineage: Eukaryota; Metazoa; Chordata; Aves; Sphenisciformes; Spheniscidae. The record is from Rfam.
UUAUAGGUGUUCAUAAACACCACUAGACACUUACAAAAUGUUAAUCU